GCCCGCCGGGGUGUCAGCCAGGGAGAGCGGGGGCCCGCGAGAGGAACUGUUCCGUCCCGGACGAAGGGAGAAACAAACAGCGACGCGAGCGCGAAAAAACCAUCACCCCCGAGCCCGUGUUAGUGUGUGUGUGCGCGCGCGCGUGUGUGUUGUGUGUUUCGACAUAAUGCCCGUUUCCGUCCGCCGGGUAUGACCAGCACCACUGCGGGACGCUGACUUCUGCAGCGAGCGCUUUGUCGUCUGCUACCACGACAGACUUGACUAGGUAGGCAAUGUGCCGGCCGCGUCGUUCCCUGUCGUGAUCGUGGUCCUGCGCGACGAGGCACGAAAAAUCUCAAGCGGUUGACUUCUCUUCUGGUGUUUCUCUUUUAGCUUGGCUCGCUCUCCUUUGGGAAGCGGUUCGCGCGGCUAACGCACAACUUGUGGCUCGAGUGGUGUGAAAAUCGCGCCGUAGACGCGCAGCCGCCUUCGCGACAGGCUUGACUGUGAGUUUCGUCUGCAUCGUCUGCAUCGUUGUCGUCUGCGAGCAGGAUUACGCCCUUGGAAUCGUCUGCUAAGCAACUGAAGAUCAAGACAGAUACAGUACUCAGAAUGACGGAAUACGGCCUCACGGAAGAGCAAGUCGCAGAGUUUAAGGAGGCCUUCAUGCUGUUCGACAAGGACUCCGACGGCCGCAUAACGUCAUCCGAGCUGGGAAUCGUCAUGCGUUCUUUGGGACAGAGACCGACCGAGACCGAACUGCGGAACAUGGUCACGCUCGUGGACACAGACGGGAACGGGACGAUCGAGUUCAACGAGUUCCUGUUCAUGAUGUCUAAGAAGAUGAAGGAGACGGACAGCGAAGAGGAGCUCCGGGAGGCGUUCCGCGUGUUCGAUAAGAACGGCGACGGCUUCAUCUCGGCGUCUGAACUGCGGCACGUCAUGACCAACCUGGGGGAGAAGCUCACCGACGAGGAGGUCGAGGACAUGAUCCGAGAAGCGGACCUCGACGGAGACGGGCUCGUCAACUACGACGAGUUCGUCACAAUCUUGACGGCUCCGAAGUGAGCGAUGGCGCCCAGCCGCGGAGCCUCGGCCUCUCCAGUGAGACAAUGACGAAGACGUCGACGUGUGUCCACGCGCGCGAAUCUUCCAGUUUGGCAAUACACCACCGCGCCCUGCGGGACCGGUCGAAUCAUCAAAGCAGCGAAGAAUGCCUCCCCCCUCCCCCACCCCCCUUCGAACCGCUACAGACGCUGCCCGGUGCGGGUGGACGCACAGACCUUGAUUCCUUUGAAACCUAUAUAGCCAUCCACCAACUGCGUGCGAUAACUCGGAAUUCUCUCUCCGUUUUUUUUUUUUUUUUUUUUUGCCUUUCUGUUUUCUUUUUUCGCACUGUAACAUACAGCACUCCCGGAAAGGUGCAACGAUAGUCCCUGGCUAUAGCAACAUCCUGGUUUAGGCGCUUGCAAGACGGCGAGUAACAAAAGACGCGCAGAAAAAAAUAAUCCGUGGAGUUUUGCUAAAUCGAAACUUUCGUUAUAACGAAAUAAUUCGUUAAAACGGGAAAUUCGGGAAACCGCUUUUUUUUUUUUUUCGUGGCAUAGCGUUUUAGCAGCUUGAGCAGCUUCUUAACGGCAGUGAGAGUGAUCAUCCUGCCACAUUCAUAACGGCUUUGUUCCGUUGCUCGAGUCAAUUCACUGCUUAUCUCUCGAAUCGUUUUCAACAUGCCUAUCCAAAAUCAUGAUGAAGUGAGCUCUGCUUCGUAAUCGCAGAGAUGGAGAUUGAGCGCGAACGAAUAAGGCCACGGGAGCAAAGAAUUUGAAAUUAAAUCGCUGUACUUGCUGCGCCAGGACAAGUUGUACUUGCGGUGCCAUGGGACAAACUGGACCCUUCGGGGUGAGCAACUGUUGCAUGCACUGCGCAGUGUGUCACCCGUGCUUUUCAGAGCGCACAUCACGUGUCGUACCACGACGCUUCCCCCACCACCGCAACCGCGUUCUUCACAUCGUUUUGAUCAGCACUCACCACUACACUCAUUGCAAUCGUUCUCAAACCAAAUAAUAAAAGCGGGGUAAAGGCACAUAAUACACAUUGCGAAAUUCGGCUCGCCGCUGCCCACGAACGAAGGACUUUUUUUUCGCUACCAACUUCAUCGCAAGCACACGGUCAAAUUUUGAGCUGUCUUCGGCGAUUGCCACAUGCGCUGGGCCUUGUGCAUCGGUGUAAUAGCGGGCUAUCUUCGGGCGUGGUACUCGGAAGACCCCACGAAUCUAAGUGAUGACUGGGAAGUUCAGUGUCGUUUGUUUGUUUACUUGUGUCACACUGAAUUUCGCAACACCCGUAAGGGUGCCAACGAUAUCCCUGGCGACCAGCGUGCUCGUUCAGUCGGGUAUAAAACAAUCUGUACGUAAGCAAGGUCGUGCAAAAAAAAAAUAAUAAUCCUUGAAUUUCAUUAAAUCGAAAGAUUCGCUGUUAACAAGGGGCACAAUUGACAUGUUUUGUAACACUAGUAAUGACAAAAACAAAAUGACGGAAUUUACCUUGAAGUUUCCCGGAUCGGUGAUGCAUUCAGUUCCGUAAUCACUGCAGUUCCGUGCUUUGUUGUAUACUGGAGGUAGGUGGCACAGAUGCAAAGCGCCAGGGAGUGUAGUUGGCGUAGUGGCACAACCCUAUCCCACCUCUCUUUGCACGUACACCACGUGAGCCCGUCAUCGUAGUGUUCAACGUGCGCCACAUUUAACCACCAUAGAGCCCUGUCCGAAAUCCUACACAUCUCGGCGUGUACUACAUUGGGCCUGAGGAAGUAGCUGCGUCGAUAGCGGGUCGCAGUAUAGCCAGCGUGCGCUGAUUGAAAACUCUCGAAAGCGACCCCUAUAGCGUAUUUGUACCGGACCACGGCAUCGCCCGUCGCAAGUUGACAAUUGCAGCACUUAAGCCUGAAGCAAGCAUAAUAAGAAAACGAAGCGAGGAAUAAAUCGAGCCUUUUCGGAGAGCCAGCCCGGAUAUUCUAAUCGUCCACGGUCUUGUCAUGUGUUACAGUCGGUAGCGUUGACCGCGUAGCAGCACCUUCCAAAACGCUUUUGUCACACUAUAGUCGCGCGUGCGUGACUUGCAGCAGAUCGACUGUAAUAGAAUACGUAACAACCGCACACAUUGUACGCUUUUCAUCGAGCCAACUGUUGCGUCCAAGCCUUUUCCAGAUUGUUUGGCUGAGUGACAAAAGUUUUAAGUGGCUUCUGCGCACCGCGGAAAAAUGGAAUGCCGUUUAUGUUUACGUGCGCCCUCACGUUUGGCCUCCCAAGGCUAAAGACAACGGAAGCCUUUCAAUUGAACAUUUAAGAAUGCAUUACAUGAGUGUGUAGCAGUCGUCACAUCGCAAUUAAGCAUAAAUACUAAACAUUGCAACCGCGUACGUCAUUACGCUAUGGGAUAUUUAACCGACGAAAACGGGCUUGGUUACGGUGGCGAAGUAAGGUACAUCGGCAUUUUUGAAACGGCGCUAAAGGGACGGAAGACACGGGAAAGGAACGCACAGGACACGCGCUCACUGAAAUUUUGUAUAGGAAAAACAGCGAAUACACACAAAGACGGCCAACCUGCGUGCGCACAUAUGCACACUCAACCAACGGCACUUUCGAUUCCGCAAUCGAAGAGGAAAAUAGCUAUAGGAAACUGAUGUGCAACUAUCAUACCGAUUUUACGAUGUGAAACGCUCCCACGAUCUUACGUACCCCCUCUCACUGUUAGAUCUCUCUUAUUUCCUUGUUUGAUUGCGUAACAGGUUUGAUCGCAAAGGUGCCGUUGCAUGGUUGAGUACAUAUAUGCGCGUGCAUGUUGGCAUUUUUGUGUUUUGCCUAAUAAAAAUGGGAGUUGUCAGUCAGCGGCUCUCCUGUGCGCUUCUUCCCGUGUUAAUUUUUCGUCCCUUUAGCGCUAUUUCCAAUUUCCCAGUUGUCCACUUCGCACACGUGAUCAACGUACGGCCGUAGGCGAGAUCGCGGAGAGAGGGGACCGAAUCAGUAGAAAGUAGACCUCACAGAACACCUGUACAGCUUUAAUGUCCAACACGGGCGGUAGAUAGGACGUGUCACGUGACAUCUAGUAGAAAAGCCCAUCGAGACACGCACCGUAGGAGUCCAGCAAUAACUAACAUUCACAGCAACAUGGGCUGAGAUGAAGCGUCAGGGAGACGUGGACAACGCACGGAAAUGCGAGACGUUAGAAAUGUUUCUUAAAGAGGAUCGAGUCGGGACACUUGGAUCUAGUUCCGGCAAAACGUCAUCAGCAUUUUACCUAGCGAGGAGCAAGAUAAUUGGCAGCUCAGUGGAACUUCCGUAGAGCUUGCACUCUUUCUUUCUUUGGCUUUUCAGUAAUGACGGUUCUCUCUCUCUCUCUCUACCAUUCCCUACUUUUCCCCCAAUCCUCCAACCGUCUUUUACGUAUUUCUACUCAGUGUAGUUCCUCCUUGACAAGCACUGCGAUCGGGCUAGUUUGGUACCGAUCCGUAACUUCGGAUAGCGCAGGAGGGACUAAAAACGAAGAAAGUACACGGGACAAGUUACGGUCCUCCAAGGCGCAUUUUAAGUCCCGAAGCUUGCCAUAUCAUUGCGAUAAUUUUUUUCCCUGCUGAAAUCGUCGGGGCUGCAUGGAGUCUAUGAGGAGUUAUGAGAACAUGAUCCGUAUAGACAUGACAAGAACUUUAUUUGAGUCCUGAGGAACUGAGAUCUAGUCGGUGGCUCGGCCCACGAUGGGACCGGGAGACCAAGUCCCGUCGCGAUGUCAUGGGCCCUCUGGACAGCCUGGAGUUGAAUUUGAAGAUUUCUGCUCUUGAGGCCAGCCCUUAACGAAAGAGCAAUGGAAACAUGAUCCGUAGCUCCUCAAAAAUUAAGGGCGAAUGUUAGCUUCCACUUCGCUUGCUGCCACCAGCACUACUUUGCAUAGUUGUCCGUAGGUGGCACGCUCAAUUGUGAAUCUCCCAGUUUUAGGCGUAACGCUUCGCGGUUUCUUGAAACAUGGGCGCGAGGGUCUUUAUGGCCAACUUGGCAAAUGGCAAGGCUAGAAAUCCUCCCUCAUCGUUAGCGAGCGAUGUCUCCAUUUUGUUCUUGUUGGUUGCGGCUCUUUUUUAAUAAGCUCUGCCUGCUCUUGAAAGCCGUCCUGUUCGCUGUUUUCUGCACCAGUAAAGUGUACCCGCAAUAUGAGACACAACAUUACUUCUUAGCAGUACAAUUAAUGACUUGCCCAUACGUAAGUCCGUAUUCGCAAGAAUGUUUCUGUUAAAAAAAAAAAACUAAGUACUUUCCAGACUAAUUCAGAAGCCAUAGAACGGCCCAGUGAGAUAUCGAAAAUAGUAGGUGGUCAACUUUUGCUGAAGCACAACGAACAAACUUCCAACACCGGGUUUUUCACAACCACACAGCGAUCACCCAAUCAUCCAUCACCACGCACAUUGUUACCGACAUCUAUCCCACAUGUUGAUUUCUGGUGAAACUUUUUUGACAUUCAUUGUUGUGUGAAGUUUGUGAACCAUCAGCUUCAAAGUACCCAGCAUGCACAUUCAACCUGCGUCUGCACUGGUGCAUGGUAUGUGUCAGAGAAACAGGGCUUUGGAUUGUUUACUUGAUUCAAUAUUUCCCAAGCAAGAGGUGCCGUCGCUCCUCGCACGUGUACAAACAUUUUUCUCCUCUGCUGUGACAGAAGACACCCCCCCCCCCCCUCCCCCCAAAUAAAUGCAGAAAAUGCA
This is an RNA transcript of Dermacentor silvarum, 5719 nucleotides long. It is a transcript of the gene named calmodulin, with no coding region annotated. The transcript is spliced from 6 exons. The record is from RefSeq and is a predicted model, not a curated record. NCBI's taxonomy places the organism in Eukaryota, Metazoa, Arthropoda, Arachnida, Ixodida, Ixodidae.